Peptoniphilus indolicus ATCC 29427 is the source of this 178-nucleotide non-coding RNA. It matches the Rfam family "6S / SsrS RNA". From Rfam's summary of the family: E. coli 6S RNA was the first non coding RNA to be sequenced, but its function was unknown until recently. It consists of 184 nucleotides that fold into an extended hairpin structure with a large single-stranded internal bulge. The record is from Rfam. NCBI's taxonomy places the organism in Bacteria, Bacillati, Bacillota, Tissierellia, Tissierellales, Peptoniphilaceae.
GAUACUCUACGGUGAGCGAAUAUUCUUCAUUUAAUUCAACCGACAAAAAAGAUCCGGGAAGCCACAAUCUGAAUGGAUAACAAGCCUGCUUGACAGGAAGUUAGAAAUUUAGGCUAGGUUACCCACCUAAUGAUGGGGCGGGUCUGAAUUAAUGGGGACACGCCAUUGUGGAGCAUUU